GGAAUAUUGGACAAUGGGUGAGAGCCUGAUCCAGCCAUCCCGCGUGAAGGAUGACGGUCCUAUGGAUUGUAAACUUCUUUUGUAUAGGAAUAAACCUUUCUACGUGUAGAAAGCUGAAGGUACUAUACGAAUAAGCACCGGCUAACUCCGUGCCAGCAGCCGCGGUAAUACGGAGGGUGCAAGCGUUAUCCGGAUUUAUUGGGUUUAAAGGGUCCGUAGGCGGACCGAUAAGUCAGUGGUGAAAUCUCAUAGCUUAACUAUGAAACUGCCAUUGAUACUGUCGGUCUUGAGUAAAUUAGAGGUAGCUGGAAUAAGUAGUGUAGCGGUGAAAUGCAUAGAUAUUACUUAGAACACCAAUUGCGAAGGCAGGUUACCAUGAUUUAACUGACGCUGAGGGACGAAAGCGUGGGUAGCGAACAGGAUUAGAUACCCUUG
This 435-nucleotide ribosomal RNA is filed under the name uncultured Chryseobacterium sp. RNAcentral describes it as "bacterial SSU rRNA". It matches the Rfam family "Bacterial small subunit ribosomal RNA", at positions 358 to 790 of the family's 1533-position model. Lineage: Bacteria; Pseudomonadati; Bacteroidota; Flavobacteriia; Flavobacteriales; Weeksellaceae. The record is from RNAcentral.